Molecule: small nuclear RNA, 191 nt
Filed under: Daphnia magna
Lineage: Eukaryota; Metazoa; Arthropoda; Branchiopoda; Diplostraca; Daphniidae
Description: U2 spliceosomal RNA
Rfam family: U2 spliceosomal RNA
About the family: U2 is a small nuclear RNA (snRNA) component of the spliceosome (involved in pre-mRNA splicing). Complementary binding between U2 snRNA (in an area lying towards the 5' end but 3' to hairpin I) and the branchpoint sequence (BPS) of the intron results the bulging out of an unpaired adenosine, on the BPS, which initiates a nucleophilic attack at the intronic 5' splice site, thus starting the first of two transesterification reactions that mediate splicing.
Source: RNAcentral
AUCGCUUCUCGGCCUUUUGGCUAAGAUCAAAGUGUAGUAUCUGUUCUUAUCAGCUUAAUAUCUGAUACGGGUUCAAAUGAACCCCAGAAUAUUAAACUGAUUUUUGGAAUUCGGUGGGAUGUCAAUGCUUGCAUUGAUCCUGCCACGGGUUGACCCGGUAUUGCAGUACCUCCGGGCUCGGCUCACCCCUU